UGGUAUUCUGAUCCAAAAAAAAAUUACCAUGCUAUUAAAAGAUAAAGGCUUAAAAAUUAAAGAAUCUGGCGGUAAUGUCAACCAAAUUAGAGGAACCUGUCCUGUGAGCGAUAAUCCGCGAUAAAUCUUACCUUGUUUAGUAAAGCUUAUUAAUUAUUUAGUAGGUUAAUUAAUAUGAUCAGCCGGUAUACCGCCAUUUUGAAGUGAUCUCUGAAGAGAUUACUGUAAAAUUUGAUUUUAUAAAAUAAAACAAGAAAAUAUAAGUCAAGAAAGCUGAAUCAUAAUUCAAUAAUAGCUUUUGAUAAAUUUAUAUUUAGUAAAUUAGGUCCAGGUGCCGCCAAUAACAAGAGUAGAGAUGGGUUACAAUUUUAUUGAAGAUAAAUAUAAUUAA
This 391-nucleotide ribosomal RNA is filed under the name Lysmata vittata. RNAcentral's name for it is "partial 12S ribosomal RNA". Lineage: Eukaryota; Metazoa; Arthropoda; Malacostraca; Decapoda; Hippolytidae. The record is from RNAcentral.